GACGAACGCUGGCGGCGUGCCUAAUACAUGCAAGUCGAACGAGAGCGACCGGUGCUUGCACUGGUCAAUCUAGUGGCGAACGGGUGAGUAACACGUGGGUAACCUGCCCAUCAGAGGGGGAUAACAUUCGGAAACGGAUGCUAAAACCACAUAGGUCCUUUAACCGCAUGGUUGAAGGAGGAAAAGAGGCGCAAGCUUCUGCUGAUGGAUGGACCCGCGGUGCAUUAGCUAGUUGGUGAGGUAACGGCUCACCAAGGCCGUGAUGCAUAGCCGACCUGAGAGGGUGAUCGGCCACAUUGGGACUGAGACACGGCCCAAACUCCUACGGGAGGCAGCAGUAGGGAAUCUUCCGCAAUGGACGCAAGUCUGACGGAGCAACGCCGCGUGAGUGAAGAAGGUUUUCGGAUCGUAAAACUCUGUUGUUAGAGAAGAACAAGUGCUAGAGUAACUGUUAGCGCCUUGACGGUAUCUAACCAGAAAGCCACGGCUAACUACGUGCCAGCAGCCGCGGUAAUACGUAGGUGGCAAGCGUUGUCCGGAUUUAUUGGGCGUAAAGCGAGCGCAGGCGGUUCCUUAAGUCUGAUGUGAAAGCCCCCGGCUCAACCGGGGAGGGUCAUUGGAAACUGGGGAACUUGAGUGCAGAAGAGGAGAGUGGAAUUCCAUGUGUAGCGGUGAAAUGCGUAGAUAUAUGGAGGAACACCAGUGGCGAAGGCGACUCUCUGGUCUGUAACUGACGCUGAGGCUCGAAAGCGUGGGUAGCAAACAGG
Molecule: ribosomal RNA, 767 nt
Filed under: uncultured Granulicatella sp.
Lineage: Bacteria; Bacillati; Bacillota; Bacilli; Lactobacillales; Carnobacteriaceae
Description: bacterial SSU rRNA
Rfam family: Bacterial small subunit ribosomal RNA
Source: RNAcentral